This 375-nucleotide ribosomal RNA is filed under the name uncultured bacterium. Its description in RNAcentral is "bacterial SSU rRNA". It matches the Rfam family "Bacterial small subunit ribosomal RNA", at positions 30 to 417 of the family's 1533-position model. The record is from RNAcentral.
AUUGAACGCUGGCGGCAGGCCUAACACAUGCAAGUCGAGCGGGGUUUUCGGACCUAGCGGCGGACGGGUGAGUAAUGCGUAGGAAGCUACCCGAUAGAGGGGGAUACCAGUUGGAAACGACUGUUAAUACCGCAUAAUGUCUACGGACCAAAGUGUGGGACCUUCGGGCCACAUGCUAUCGGAUGCGCCUACGUGGGAUUAGCUAGUUGGUGAGGUAAUGGCUCACCAAGGCGACGAUCUCUAGCUGGUUUGAGAGGAUGAUCAGCCACACUGGAACUGAGACACGGUCCAGACUCCUACGGGAGGCAGCAGUGGGGAAUAUUGGACAAUGGGCGCAAGCCUGAUCCAGCAAUGCCGCGUGCAGGAUGAAGGCCU